UUAAUCUCCAACUUGACAACUGCUGGCGUGAAAACAAAAACAAAUAUGUUUUAACUUUAUUAUCUCUUUUGGUGGAAUGGUCGGUGUUUGACAAGAUAAAGGGCAACUUUCUACCAUUUGGCCAUACGCAUGAAGACAUUGAUGCAUUAUUUGGCUGUUUUUCAAAGCAUCUUAAAUUUCUUGAUGUAUAUACAGUAAAUGAUAUAAGAAAAGCAUUUGAAGAAUGCUGUAACAAGCCAUACCCAGAAUCUGAGUGUUUAUCAUGCAUUUAU
This is a long non-coding RNA of Dendronephthya gigantea, 272 nucleotides long. RefSeq lists it as uncharacterized. NCBI's taxonomy places the organism in Eukaryota, Metazoa, Cnidaria, Anthozoa, Malacalcyonacea, Nephtheidae. The record is from RefSeq and is a predicted model, not a curated record. The transcript is spliced from 3 exons.